AUUGAACGCUGGCGGCAUGCUUUACACAUGCAAGUCGAACGGCAGCACGAAAGAGCUUGCUCUUUUGGUGGCGAGUGGCGCACGGGUGAGUAAUGCAUCGGAACGUACCGAGUAAUGGGGGAUAACUGUCCGAAAGGAUAGCUAAUUCCGCAUACGCUUUGAGAAGGAAAGUGGGGGCUCUUCGGACCUCACGUUAUUCGAGCGGCCGAUGUCUGAUUAGCUAGUUGGUGGGGUAAAGGCCUACCAAGGCGACGAUCAGUAGCGGGUCUGAGAGGAUGAUCCGCCACACUGGGACUGAGACACGGCCCAGACUCCUACGGGAGGCAGCAGUGGGGAAUUUUGGACAAUGGGCGCAAGCCUGAUCCAGCCAUGCCGCGUGUCUGAAGAAGGCCUUCGGGUUGUAAAGGACUUUUGUUAGGGAAGAAAAGGAUAGUGUUAAUACCAUUAUCUGCUGACGGUACCUAAAGAAUAAGCACCGGCUAACUACGUG
This 490-nucleotide ribosomal RNA is filed under the name uncultured bacterium. RNAcentral describes it as "partial 16S ribosomal RNA". It matches the Rfam family "Bacterial small subunit ribosomal RNA", at positions 30 to 507 of the family's 1533-position model. The record is from RNAcentral.